AUGGAUUCCAAGCCCCAAGCCCCGCCGUCGGAGGGCGCGGCGUACCCGCGCAUGUCCCCGGAGGACCUCGCGCCGCCGCCGCCGCCGGUCGUGGCGCCCGCGGGCUCCAACCCCUACGUGCUGUCCUCGCCCUCCUCCGGACCGCCCGCCAAGAGUAAGUCACCUACCACUGCCAACCACCACCUAUCUCCUCGCCUCCUGCUCUCUGCUGCUCCAGCUCCUGUUCCGAGACUGGAUUCGACAUGGUUAGUGUUUUCUUUCGCGGGGGGCAUGGUUAGUGUUUGUGCUGACGUUUCUUUUGGGGAAUCGAUUGCUGCAGGCACCAAGGAGAAUCUGAGGGAGAUGUUCGGCUCGGUGGGGAAGAGGUUCAGCGAGGCCGCGCGCAAGACCGAGGGCAUCGCCGGCGACGUCUGGCAGCACUUGAAAACUGGGCCUAGCAUUACGGAUGCUGCAAUGGGGAGGAUCGCUCAGGUAUCCAAGGUCAUAUCGGAAGGGGGAUACGACAAGAUAUUCCAGCAGACGUUUGAGUGCUUGCCUGACGAGAAGCUCAAGAAGGCGUACGCGUGCUACCUCUCGACCUCUCAUGGUCCGAUAAUGGGCGUCUUAUACGUCUCCACCGCCAAGCUUGCAUUCUGUAGUGACAGCCCCGUGGCAUAUGUCACUGAGGAUAAUCAGACCGCGUCAGCCAUUUACAAGAUAGUUGUACCUGUACCUCACCUGAGAUCAGUCACUCCUACCGCAAGUCAACAGAACCCUGCGGAGAGGUACAUCCAGGUCGUUUCUGUCGAUAACCAUGACUUCUGGUUCAUGGGCUUCGUGAACUAUGACAGCGCUGUGAAGUGUCUCCAGGAUGCUGCUCGUGGUGGCGCCUAG
RNAcentral lists this ribosomal RNA (873 nucleotides) under Triticum aestivum (bread wheat). RNAcentral's name for it is "partial small subunit ribosomal RNA". The record is from RNAcentral. Lineage: Eukaryota; Viridiplantae; Streptophyta; Magnoliopsida; Poales; Poaceae.